CCUACGGGAGGCAGCAGUGAGGAAUAUUGGUCAAUGGACGAGAGUCUGAACCAGCCAAGUAGCGUGAAGGAUGACUGCCCUAUGGGUUGUAAACUUCUUUUAUAAAGGAAUAAAACGAGGCACGUGUGCCUUUUUGCAUGUACUUUAUGAAUAAGGAUCGGCUAACUCCGUGCCAGCAGCCGCGGUAAUACGGAGGAUCCGAGCGUUAUCCGGAUUUAUUGGGUUUAAAGGGAGCGUAGAUGGGUUGUUAAGUCAGUUGUGAAAGUUUGCGGCUCAACCGUAAAAUUGCAAUUGAUACUGGCAGUCUUGAGUACGGUUGAGGUAGGCGGAAUUCGUGGUGUAGCAGUGAAAUGCUUAGAUAUCACGAAGAACCCCGAUUGCGAAGGCAGCUUACUAAACUGUGACUGACAUUGAUGCUCGAAAGUGUGGGUAUCAAACAGGAUUAGAUACCCUUGUAGUC
Molecule: ribosomal RNA, 460 nt
Filed under: uncultured bacterium
Lineage: Bacteria
Description: partial 16S ribosomal RNA
Rfam family: Bacterial small subunit ribosomal RNA
Source: RNAcentral